This 255-nucleotide ribosomal RNA is filed under the name uncultured bacterium. Its description in RNAcentral is "partial 16S ribosomal RNA". It matches the Rfam family "Bacterial small subunit ribosomal RNA", at positions 1238 to 1500 of the family's 1533-position model. The record is from RNAcentral.
UACGAGAGGGCCGCUACCACGCGAGUGGAUGCCAAUCCCAAAAACCUCUCUCAGUUCGGACUGGAGUCUGCAACCCGACUCCACGAAGCUGGAUUCGCUAGUAAUCGCGCAUCAGCCACGGCGCGGUGAAUACGUUCCCGGGCCUUGUACACACCGCCCGUCAAGCCAUGGGAGCCGGGGGUACCUGAAGUGCGUAACCGCGAGGAGCGCCCUAGGGUAAAACUGGUGACUGGGGCUAAGUCGUAACAAGGUACC